UACGGAGGGUGCGAGCGUUGUCCGGAAUCAUUGGGCGUAAAGGGUGCGUAGGUGGUGAGGUAAGUCCGAUGUGAAAGCUCCGAGCUCAACUCGGAAAUUGCAUUAGAAACUACCUUGCUAGAGGGUUGGAGGGGGGACUGGAAUUCUCGGUGUAGCAGUGAAAUGCGUAGAUAUCGAGAGGAACACCAGUGGCGAAGGCGAGUCCCUGGACAACUCCUGACACUGAGGCACGAAAGCUAGGGGAGCAAACAGG
RNAcentral lists this ribosomal RNA (253 nucleotides) under uncultured bacterium. Its description in RNAcentral is "partial 16S ribosomal RNA". It matches the Rfam family "Bacterial small subunit ribosomal RNA", at positions 524 to 776 of the family's 1533-position model. The record is from RNAcentral.